Molecule: ribosomal RNA, 488 nt
Filed under: uncultured bacterium
Lineage: Bacteria
Also listed under: 1 other name
Description: bacterial SSU rRNA
Rfam family: Bacterial small subunit ribosomal RNA
Source: RNAcentral
ACGAACGCUGGCGGCACGCCUAACACAUGCAAGUCGAGCGAGAAAGUGACUUCGGUCGCGAGUAAAGCGGCGAACGGGUGAGUACAACGUGGAUAAUCUACCCUAAGGUCUGGGACAACCCCGAGAAAUCGGGGCUAAUACUGGAUAAGACCACAGUAUCUAAGGAUACAGGGGUAAAAGAUUUAUCGCCUUUGGAUGAGUCCACGCCCCAUCAGGUAGUUGGUAAGGUAAAGGCUUACCAAGCCUAAGACGGGUAGCCGGCCUUAGCGGGUGAACGGCCACAUGGGGACUGAGACACGGCCCUGACUCCUACGGGAGGCAGCAGUGGGGAAUAUUGGGCAAUGGGCGAAAGCCUGACCCAGCGAUGCCGCGUGAGGGAUGAAGGCCUUCGGGUUGUAAACCUCUGUCAGGAGGGACGAUGGGACUUUUGUCUUGACGGUACCUCCAGAGGAGGCCCCGGCUAACUCCGUGCCAGCAGCCGCGGUAAU